UCAGAAGAAACACUGGAUGAGGGGA
RNAcentral lists this non-coding RNA (25 nucleotides) under Rattus norvegicus (Norway rat). Lineage: Eukaryota; Metazoa; Chordata; Mammalia; Rodentia; Muridae. The record is from RNAcentral.